Molecule: ribosomal RNA, 441 nt
Filed under: uncultured bacterium
Lineage: Bacteria
Description: partial 16S ribosomal RNA
Rfam family: Bacterial small subunit ribosomal RNA
Source: RNAcentral
CCUACGGGAGGCAGCAGUGGGGAAUAUUGCACAAUGGGGGAAACCCUGAUGCAGCAACGCCGCGUGAGUGAGGAAGGAUUUCGGUAUGUAAAGCUCUAUCAGCAGGGAAGAGAAAAGAAGGUACCUGAAAAAGAAGCCCCGGCGAACUACGUGCCAGCAGCCGCGGUAAUACGUAGGGGGCAAGCGUUAGCCGGAUUUACGGGGUGUAAGGGGAUCGUAGACGGUAAGGCACGUCAGAAGUGAAAACCCACGGCUCAACCAUGGGACUGCUUUUGAAACUGUCAAACUAGAGUACGGGAGCGGUAAGCGGCAUUCCUAGUGUAGCGGUGAAAUGCGUAGAUAUUAGGAGGAACCCCAGUGGCGAAGGCGUCUUACUGGACCGAAACUGACGUUGAGGCUCGAAAGCGUGGGGAGCAAACAGGAUUAGAUACCCUUGUAGUC